CCUAUUUUCUAGAACCAUCCAGGAAUCAUCUUUCAUCUAACCUCUCAUUUUUUUCUCCGCCGUCUCUCUCCCCUCUCCAUCUAACCUCUAAUCCUUUCCUCCCUCUGUGUAUCCAAGUUUCUUCACUCCUUUUCUCCCUCUGUUGCACAGAUGGUACGAAUUAAAAUCACAAAAAAUGGAGACAUGCCUUCCCCCAAAAAACCCCAACCCCUCCCUCUCAAGCUUAGUAUCGCCAAUUCAAUGGCAGCCAUGAUUCUAAGAUUUUAGGUCGUGGGGGGCUACGGUCACUGAAGAAGGUUGCUUGAGACGGAUUUGGCGAGAAGCAAGCAGCGCCAUCUAGUCCUAGCUAAUACCAUGCUUUUGGUUGGGAUUAGCUAACGACAUCUAGUGAGGCCCGUAGUCGAGGCGAGUCCGAGCUAGCGUCAUUAAAGCUAAUCCUUUGCUUUGCCAAAUGCUGGACUACACUAGCUGUUAGUCCAGUCUAGUCUAGUGAGAGCUAGGGGUGUCAAAAAAACACACCCUUAUUUUCCUCCUUUGGAAAUACUUACAUGCAGAUGUGGGUAAAUUUUCACUUGUUACAGCAUACCCUUCAGCACAAGUGCUUCUUCUUUAGCAAUGGAACAAACAAGGUGUGUAUUUUAGGUUGUAUUAUAACCAUAAUGGUUUAGGCUUGCUAAGGUCUUUGAUUAUGGAUAAUGUUAGGGAGACCAAGUUUCUAAUAACGGUAAGCUAAGGUUGAUUAGGAUGUCAAUGAAGAAAUUGAAUAUGUACAUAGAGGGUAAGAAUGUACUUCUUUACUUUGUAGUUGAUUAUGGUUUAUGACAAAGUUUGUCAAGUUUUAAGAGUCAAGUAAGUUGUCGAUUAUUAAUUACAUUGAUAUUAUCUCAAUUUAACCACUUACACAGCU
Malus domestica (apple) is the source of this 907-nucleotide long non-coding RNA. RefSeq lists it as uncharacterized. Lineage: Eukaryota; Viridiplantae; Streptophyta; Magnoliopsida; Rosales; Rosaceae. The record is from RefSeq and is a predicted model, not a curated record.